ACAGACUGAACGGAAAAGAGCAGAAGCUUGUUUAAUUUGAUUUGAACUUCCGCAAUUGCAUAAUUGCCACAUUUCUCUAUCUGACAUUGCUCUCUUUAUUAUUAUUUGAUUGUUUCAUUUGCUUGGCUAUGGAAGUUCAUAAAUUAGUAGGAGGACGUGGGCUAUUUCGAGAUGAAAGCGAAAUUUCACUCUUUACGCUUCUCAAUUCCGACAGAGUGAUAAAACGGUUUGCCAAAUGCCCGUCUAUCGCUAUUGGCGACAGUGUACCAAAGACAUCCAGUUUUGCUUCACCUACCGAUACACUAAGAUACUCAGCUGAAAAAUUUGCUUCGAGAAUCCGCUUUUCCUUAAAAUACAGUCACAUCGUUUAUCAAAAAUUAUAGCCACAAUACGUGAGUAAUAAAUUCACGCACAGAUGAGUUUCCCUGUUGGGAAAAGAAGACAGCUUGCUUUCAGUACAUUUACCUUACAAUCAGCUUGUAGAGUUCUCUUUGUAUAAUAUAAAUAGAUGGGUUCGUGCCCAAUUUUUUCUCAAAUUGAAGCCUACAAUAUAUUAGCAUAGUUAUGAUAUGACUCCAACCUUCCAAACAUACAUUAAUGAAACGUGAUAACUACAGGCUAAAUUUGUGUGUUUUCUUGUCCUCCCCCCCAUAAAUGUUAGAUAAAAACAAUUUAUUUAUUUAUUUCUAAAAACAGAGCUUACUCCCAGAGUAAGUCAGACACAAGGUUGGGUAAAAAUUUCUCAGACGUGCAAUCCAUAAUGAAAGAAAAACAAAUCCCUUCAAUAAAAUUGCAUUUCUUCAAGGAAAACCAACCAUUUUCGUGCAAAUAAAUAUUCAUUGAAUGGAUAUUAAAAGAGAAAUGAGUAAAGAUAAAAAGAGAAACAACUAUUAAUAUGCAAAGUAGGAAAAAAAGAAAAAGAAAAUACAAUUCACUUCAAUAUCGAAAAGUGUGCAACCAGUUUAACCACCGAAACCAUAAAUGGUACGGCCUUGACGCUUCAAAGAGUAGACAACGUCCAAGGAAGUGACAGUCUUACGCUUGGCGUGUUCAGUGUAGGUAACUGCAUCACGGAUAACGUUUUCCAAGAAAAGCUUGAGAACGGCACGAGUCUCUUCGUAAACCAAAGCAGAAAUACGCUUAACACCGCCACGACGAGCAAGACGACGAAUGGCAGGCUUAGUAAUACCUUGAAUGUUAUCACGAAGGAUCUUACGAUGGCGCUUAGCACCACCCUUUCCCAAUCCUUUACCACCUUUUCCACGACCAGACAUCUUAUAUGAGUAAUGGGAUUCCUGUAAGUUCAAACAAACUGACUACCAAUUGAUCAAUUUACAAUAUCAAAAACUAAUUUUCAAGCGCAAACACUGAAAUUCCUAUGAUUUGAAUUUCAAUGGCUUCUCGUACUAGUCGUAGUAGUUACUGUGUAAGUGCUGUAGUUAGGCGUCCAUCUCCAUAUAUAUAUACAUUUUUUCAGGUAGCGGGGA
Molecule: non-coding RNA, 1487 nt
Organism: Schizosaccharomyces pombe (fission yeast)
Lineage: Eukaryota; Fungi; Ascomycota; Schizosaccharomycetes; Schizosaccharomycetales; Schizosaccharomycetaceae
Source: the annotation of a GenBank genome assembly